UACGAAGGGGGCUAGCGUUGCUCGGAAUCACUGGGCGUAAAGGGCGCGUAGGCGGACUUUUAAGUCGGAGGUGAAAGCCCAGGGCUCAACCCUGGAAUUGCCUUCGAUACUGGGAGUCUUGAGUUCGGAAGAGGUUGGUGGAACUGCGAGUGUAGAGGUGAAAUUCGUAGAUAUUCGCAAGAACACCAGUGGCGAAGGCGGCCAACUGGUCCGAUACUGACGCUGAGGCGCGAAAGCGUGGGGAGCAAACGGG
Molecule: ribosomal RNA, 253 nt
Filed under: uncultured bacterium
Lineage: Bacteria
Description: partial 16S ribosomal RNA
Rfam family: Bacterial small subunit ribosomal RNA
Source: RNAcentral